UACAGAGGGUGCAAGCGUUUGUUCGGAAUUAUUGGGCGUAAAGCGCGUGUAGGCGGCUUUGCAAGUCGGGUGUGAAAGCCCUCAGCUCAACUGAGGAAGUGCGCCCGAAACUGCAGAGCUUGAGUGCCGGAGAGGGUGGCGGAAUUCCCCAAGUAGAGGUGAAAUUCGUAAGAUAUGGGGGAGGAACACCGGUGGCGAAGG
RNAcentral lists this ribosomal RNA (201 nucleotides) under uncultured bacterium. RNAcentral's name for it is "partial 16S ribosomal RNA". It matches the Rfam family "Bacterial small subunit ribosomal RNA", at positions 524 to 721 of the family's 1533-position model. The record is from RNAcentral.